GUGUGUGAGCCCGCGCAGGUUCGCUUGUGCAAUCGUGCAAGCGACGCGUGUGAGGAGAGUUUGUGAAACUGUGUUUGUUAAACGGUGCCAGAUAGAGAUAGCAGCAAAGUGGGUGGCGGACGGUUAUCGGAAAUGGUUUAUUUAUUUUUCGUGUGACUUUUAGCAAACUUCUCGUCGUUCUACUUGCUGAUAAGGUGCCGUCGCCAUGCUGACCAGCGGUGCCGGAGGGAAAACGUAGUGCUCCCCACCGUUUUGUGUAGAAUGUACGUGCGAUUUGCGAUUAAGCUUUACUGCCGACGCUGCCACACUGGACGCACAUUACGCAAAGUAAAGAGAAUCUGUGCACGAUACUGACGAGUGCGAAAAUGUCCGACGAUGACACACCACGUACAGCUGUGUCCCCGCCAUUAAACUGCGCAAAACCGGAGACCGCACCAUCAUCACCCGUUGAGCCAGAACAUCGCGAACAGCGGCAGCUCGCCGAAAAGGGGCAACCCGUGGUGGAGGAUGUGAAAGUGAAACGUGAAACAGAACAAGAAACAGAACCGACCGAACCGAACGGUGCUAGUAGUAGGGUGCUGCCGCCGCCGCUGAACCGACCGGAUGACCAUGAAGCGAUAACGAACAGGCAACGAAAAUGCGUUCAAUUUACGACCCCAGCAGCGGCGGGCAGCGCGACUGCCGACGACACGCUGCUCAAGUUUAUCGAAGGUGAGGAAAUAUUGGACAAAGAGAACCCGUUCAAAACCGACGAGCUGGCGAGCGUGCUGGAGAAGCAAUACGGUGCCGCACACCGCCAAACGGACAGUGUGCGCGAUAAAACUUUUCCCGGUAACGCUGCCAGUAUCGACGAUGAUGAUGACGAUGGCGAAGACGACGGUGGCGAUAAUACCGACACCGAUCUUGACAGCGAUAACGUGUUCAUUACGAAGGAGGAAGUGCUGCGACAGUCCAAGUAUGUGAAGACCUACAUUAAAAAUCCUGAUAAGCAGCUCAAUUAUGAUAAAUGUGUAAUCCAAAAGCUGAACGCGCUCAAGGCGAAGGGGCGACAGGUGCGGGACGUUGUGGUGAUGGAGGGUACCACAUCGUCACCGCCGGGCGUGAGACCGCCAAUUCCGGCCCCCCGCAUGGUACACCAGCGGCAGCAGCUGAGCGAUCGAAACAAUAACAGCAGACGGCAGCAACGCUCACCGCAAACCGUAUCACCGCGUGGCGGAAACCCGAAACCCGUGCCGCGUGCUAGACGAUACGACUACGCGGAGGUGAAGGUGCGCAUCGGUUCGGCCGAGACGGAAGAGUCGCUGUACGACUCGAAUGAGGUCGUCCAGAACGCGCUCAAGUUCGACAGUCGGUUCAGGAAGGUGGAGUUUGGGUCGCAAGACGAUAUAGACACGAUCGCCGAGCGAACCGAGGACGGAAGCGAUCAAACGGUUGGCCAAGACACGCCCGAAACGACGGUACAAAGCCGCGAAAGUCCGUCGAAAUCCGCGAGUGCGGGCAAAGGGUCGGUGAACGGUUCACCGGCCAAGAAGGAUCAGCCCGAUGGGCGAAAGUCGACCUUUGCCGAGGAUGUGAAGAAAUCGUUCUCCAACACGGUAAAAAGUGCCGACUUUCGGAAGUACCUGCAAAGCAAGGGACUCUCCCUGGUGCCGGCCAAGCCGAAAGCUAUCGAAGGUUCCCCGCGCGUCAGUGGGCCGGCGGAGUCGACGGAAUCGGUCGGCAAGAGCCUUCGACUGUCAGCAAUCUCGACUAGCAGUACACCGGCCCGGCUGCAGCAGGCCAAACCCUCGGUGCUCGCGCGGCUCUUCCAGAGCAACGGGCUGUUCACGCCCAAAACGCCAAAUGAGCCGGCCUACUCGGCGGUAUUUGCCCGGUCCUCUACGCCCGUGCUUCAAAGCUCGCAACAGGGGCGCCUGACUCCUCGCUCUCAGCUCCCGAUGCGCUUCGGCAGCUUUAACGGUUCGCUCAAUAGACGAUCCGCUACGACAGCGGAUGUUAAACCAAAGGUUAAUUUUAAACAGUUGGUAGACGGGCAGGGUGAAACAGUGGCCGCUCCCGUUCGUCGUCCCGCUUCGGUGAACGAGUUCGAACGGCCGAAGCUGCGUACACACUUUGCCAACAGAUCGGUGUCGUCGGUCGACUCGCUCAAGCGUCCGAUGAGGAAUGCCGGCGUGCAGGUCAAUCUAGCGGCCAACGGUGGGCCCAACAACAGUCAAAUCAUACCCACCAACCACCAGAUAGUGCCGGCGGCGCAGCAACGGCCCGGCAGCUGGCAGGGUGCCGUUGCCGUUCCGCACUCGGGGCAGCCACCAGUUGGGAUGGUGCAGUCGCCGCCACAACCGCCUCCGGCGGCCGCCUAUCAGUUCAUCCGUCAGCGACCAGAUGCGGCACGGUUUUACGGUGGCGGAUCGACGCACACGGUAGCACCCCUCUACUCGGAACCGUUGCGCGAGCUGCCGAUGAUGGUGCAGGAUGAGGUAGAUUCUGGCUUCCGGUCCGCGGUAGACAACGGCUAUCAUAUUUACGAGCAGACGCCGGAUAAUUUGCGCCGCAGCGAGCUGGUUUACGGUAAAAUCGGUUACCUUAGCAACACGCAGCUGAACCGUUGGCAUCCCCAGGAUCGCCGCUCAUACAGUAGCAUGCAGGAGGGCGUAGCGGGUACGGGCAGCAACGGUGGUACGUACGGCCGCCUGCGACCGGUGUACGUGUCCUCCCCACUGUCCACCCAGUCCACGCCGGUGCGCCGCGCCUCGGACGUACUCGAUCGUGAGCAAAUCCUUCACCGGAUCUACGACUUCUGUCGCCGAUCCAUACGAAACAGCAGCAAAACGAGCGUGAAUUCGAACCAUACCGAACCGACCUACCAGAGCAGCAACGGUACGCCCGGCACGACGAAACUCGUGCCCAGCGGAACAUUCCCGAUCGAACGGCAACGGGUGCAGCGCGUUCAAAGCUUAAACACGCCACGACCGCUCGCUCCGACGAAUCAGUACGGCACGGGCCGCUAUACGCGGGCCGUAACCGCCGUUCCGGCUGCCCCAAUGCACUACCAUCCUUCCAACAGCCAGCCUAUCGUUACGGGGCGUCAGAAUCAGCACGAACGCAACAUCGAGAAUAUCUACGCGUUUGUCAACAAAAAGAUGGUACAGAUGAAUGUGAGCGGAGGAGAUGACCGUAGCGUAAGAUCGGUACAAACCUCGGCACCCUCCACCCUGCGCCGGGUGACAUUUUCGAGCACAGACCGACCACCGGGCGUGGUGAUGACCGAUGGGCUCGAUGAAGCGGACUACGUUAACAUUCGUGGUGCUCCCGAUGGGCUACUAACAUACGGAAUUGGUUCACUUUGAGUAUGCUUUUACCACUAGUACAUGCCUGGAGCUUUUCUUUAGCAGCAGAAGUAUCCAGUACAGAACGACACAAUGCUGAGAGAUUUCAAGUGGGCGCCUGUGUUGGGCGUUUUCGCUAGAAUAAGCCAACGUGUAGUAACCGUAACUGUUCGUUCGUAAGCAGAACCGUGAUAGCAACACACCGCUAAAAUGAUAACAAAACAAAUAUGAAAGCAAUAUACAUACAGUAUUCUAAAUUUGAACGCUAACGACGCACCAGUCAAACAAACAUGCUAACAAAGCUAGAAGCAGAGACCUUUUUGAAUCCUAUUAGUAUCUAUAUAACACAAGGCAUAGAGUUUUGCUAAACCGUUUUUUAAAACAUAUAUAAUAUAUAUAUUGCGCGCAUAUACCUACUAUACAGACUACAUUCAUAAAUAAAGAUGAAAAGCAAAACAAACAUUUUAUACACCAUUUUAUAUAUUUUGUAUAUUUGAAAAUAAACUAUUGUGACACCAUUUGGAAGCGCUUGAA
This is an RNA transcript of Anopheles coluzzii, 3860 nucleotides long. RefSeq lists it as uncharacterized. The record is from RefSeq and is a predicted model, not a curated record. NCBI's taxonomy places the organism in Eukaryota, Metazoa, Arthropoda, Insecta, Diptera, Culicidae. The transcript is spliced from 4 exons.